UACGAGAGGCCCGAGCGUUAAUCGGAAUCACUGGGCUUAAAGGGUGCGCAGGCGGACCCGCCAGCAUGUUGUGAAAUCCCCCGGCUCAACCGGGGAACUGCGAUGUGAACUGCGGGUCUUGAGGCAGGUAGGGGUCGAUGGAACCAUGGGUGGAACGGUGAAAUGUGUAGAUAUCCAUGGGAACGCCGAUGGCGAAGGCAGUCGACUGGGCCUGUCCUGACGCUCAUGCACGAAAGCGUGGGGAGCAAACGGG
This 253-nucleotide ribosomal RNA is filed under the name uncultured bacterium. RNAcentral's name for it is "partial 16S ribosomal RNA". It matches the Rfam family "Bacterial small subunit ribosomal RNA", at positions 524 to 776 of the family's 1533-position model. The record is from RNAcentral.